CCUACGGGUGGCAGCAGUGGGGAAUAUUGCACAAUGGGGGAAACCCUGAUGCAGCGACGCCGCGUGAGUGAAGAAGGACUUCGGUAUGUAAAGCUCUAUCAGCAGGGAAGAAAAUGACGGUACCUGACUAAGAGGCCCCGGCUAAUUACGGGCCAGCAGCCGCGGUCAUACGUAGGGGGCAAGCGUUAGCCGGAAUUACUGGGUGUAAAGGGAUCGUAGGUGGCAGGGCAAGUCAGAUGUGAAAACCCGGUGCUCAACCCCGGGAGUGCAUUUGAAACUGGCCAUCGGGAGUGCAUGAGAGGUAAGCGGAAUUCCUGGUGUAGCGGUGAAAUGCAUAGAUAUUAGGAGGAACACCAGUGGUGAAGGCGACUUACUGGCCUGUAACUGACACUGAGGCUCGAAAGCGUGGGGAGCAAACAGGAUUAGAUACCCCAGUAGUC
RNAcentral lists this ribosomal RNA (440 nucleotides) under uncultured bacterium. Its description in RNAcentral is "partial 16S ribosomal RNA". It matches the Rfam family "Bacterial small subunit ribosomal RNA", at positions 338 to 795 of the family's 1533-position model. The record is from RNAcentral.